GUUGCCAGAAAACAAUCAUUGGAAAUCGCAGAAAGAAAAACAAAGAGAAACAGAAGUACGAAAGCAAAAAAUGAAAAGAGUAGAAGCACCGGAGCAUUUAUAGUACAAUGAUCGAAGAAAUAAAAGCACAUAUUCAAAAAUCAAACCGCCAAAACACCCUUUCAAGUUUUUUAGGAAAAAGUUAACAAUACAACGCAUUAUCGAGGCAACGCAGUG
RNAcentral lists this unclassified non-coding RNA (216 nucleotides) under Hevea brasiliensis (rubber tree). Lineage: Eukaryota; Viridiplantae; Streptophyta; Magnoliopsida; Malpighiales; Euphorbiaceae. The record is from RNAcentral.